GCCGGUGACAAACCGGAGGAAGGUGGGGAUGACGUCAAAUCAUCAUGCCCCUUAUGACCUGGGCUACACACGUGCUACAAUGGACGAUACAAACGGUUGCCAACUCGCGAGAGGGAGCUAAUCCGAUAAAGUCGUUCUCAGUUCGGAUUGUAGGCUGCAACUCGCCUACAUGAAGCCGGAAUCGCUAGUAAUCGCGGAUCAGCAUGCCGCGGUGAAUACGUUCCCGGGCCUUGUACACACCGCCCGUCACACCACGAGAGUUUGUAACACCCGAAGUCGGUGAGGUAACCUUUUGGAGCCAGCCGCCGAAGGUGGGAUAGAUGAUUGGGGUGAAGUCGUAACAAGGUAGCCGUAUCGGAAGGUGCGGC
Molecule: ribosomal RNA, 368 nt
Filed under: Lysinibacillus sphaericus CBAM5
Lineage: Bacteria; Bacillati; Bacillota; Bacilli; Caryophanales; Bacillaceae
Description: bacterial SSU rRNA
Rfam family: Bacterial small subunit ribosomal RNA
Source: RNAcentral